AUUGAACGCUGGCGGCAGGCCUAACACAUGCAAGUCGAGCGGCAGCACAGAGAAACUUGUUUCUCGGGUGGCGAGCGGCGGACGGGUGAGUAAUGCCUGGGAAAUUGCCCUGAUGUGGGGGAUAACCAUUGGAAACGAUGGCUAAUACCGCAUGAUAGCUUCGGCUCAAAGAGGGGGACCUUCGGGCCUCUCGCGUCAGGAUAUGCCCAGGUGGGAUUAGCUAGUUGGUGAGGUAAGGGCUCACCAAGGCGACGAUCCCUAGCUGGUCUGAGAGGAUGAUCAGCCACACUGGAACUGAGACACGGUCCAGACUCCUACGGGAGGCAGCAGUGGGGAAUAUUGCACAAUGGGCGCAAGCCUGAUGCAGCCAUGCCGCGUGUGUGAAGAAGGCCUUCGGGUUGUAAARCACUUUCAGUCGUGAGGAAGGUGGUAGUGUUAAUAGCACUG
This 447-nucleotide ribosomal RNA is filed under the name Vibrio sp. R-15024. Its description in RNAcentral is "bacterial SSU rRNA". It matches the Rfam family "Bacterial small subunit ribosomal RNA", at positions 30 to 471 of the family's 1533-position model. Lineage: Bacteria; Pseudomonadati; Pseudomonadota; Gammaproteobacteria; Vibrionales; Vibrionaceae. The record is from RNAcentral.